UACGUAGGUGGCAAGCGUUGUCCGGAUUUAUUGGGUUUAAAGGGUGCGUAGGCGGUCCUAUAAGUCAGUGCUGAAAUAUCCCGGCUUAACCGGGAGGGUGGCAUUGAUACUGUAGGACUUGAGUAAAGUUGAGGUUGGAGGAAUUGACGGUGUAGCGGUGAAAUGCUUAGAUAUCGUCAAGAACACCUAUUGCGAAGGCAGCUAACUAAGCUUUAACUGACGCUGAGGCACGAAAGUGUGGGGAUCAAACAGG
RNAcentral lists this ribosomal RNA (253 nucleotides) under uncultured bacterium. Its description in RNAcentral is "partial 16S ribosomal RNA". It matches the Rfam family "Bacterial small subunit ribosomal RNA", at positions 524 to 776 of the family's 1533-position model. The record is from RNAcentral.